UGGUGCAGGGGAACGCAAUGACUGGU
Molecule: non-coding RNA, 26 nt
Filed under: Homo sapiens (human)
Lineage: Eukaryota; Metazoa; Chordata; Mammalia; Primates; Hominidae
Source: RNAcentral